AUUGAACGCUGGCGGCAGGCCUAACACAUGCGAGUCGAGCGGAUGAAGGGAGCUUGCUCCUGGAUUCAGCGGCGGACGGGUGAGUAAUGCCUAGGAAUCUGCCUGGUAGUGGGGGAUAACGUCCGGAAACGGGCGCUAAUACCGCAUACGUCCUGAGGGAGAAAGUGGAGGAUCUUCGGACCUCACGCUAUCAGAUGAGCCUAGGUCGGAUUAGCUAGUUGGUGGGGUAAAGGCCUACCAAGGCGACGAUCCGUAACUGGUCUGAGAGGAUGAUCAGUCACACUGGAACUGAGACACGGUCCAGACUCCUACGGGAGGCAGCAGUGGGGAAUAUUGGACAAUGGGCGAAAGCCUGAUCCAGCCAUGCCGCGUGUGUGAAGAAGGUCUUCGGAUUGUAAAGCACUUUAAGUUGGGAGGAGGGGCAGUAAGUUAAUACCUUGCUGUUUUGACGUUACCAACAGAAUAAGCACCGGCUAACUUCGUG
RNAcentral lists this ribosomal RNA (484 nucleotides) under uncultured bacterium. Its description in RNAcentral is "partial 16S ribosomal RNA". It matches the Rfam family "Bacterial small subunit ribosomal RNA", at positions 30 to 507 of the family's 1533-position model. The record is from RNAcentral.